GAUGAACGCUGGCGGCGUGCCUAAUACAUGCAAGUCGAGCGAACAGAUGAGUAGCUUGCUCCGCUGACGUUAGCGGCGGACGGGUGAGUAACACGUGGAUAACCUACCUAUAAGACUGGGAUAACUUCGGGAAACCGGUGCUAAUACCGGAUAAUAUAUUGAACCGCAUGGUUCAAUAGUGACAGACGGUUUUGCUGUCACUUAUAGAUGGAUCCGCGCCGCAUUAGCUAGUUGGUAAGGUAACGGCUUACCAAGGCAACGAUGAGUAGCCGACCUGAGAGGGUGAUCGGCCACACUGGAACUGAGACACGGUCCAGACUCCUACGGGAGGCAGCAGUAGGGAAUUUUCGGCAAUGGGCGAAAGCCUGAUGGAGCAAUGCCGCGUGAGUGAUGAAGGUCUUCGGAUCGUAAAACUCUGUUAUCAGGGAAGAAAAAAUGUGUACGUAACUAUGCACGUCAUGACGGUACCUAAUCAGAAAGCCCCGGCUAACUACGUG
RNAcentral lists this ribosomal RNA (497 nucleotides) under uncultured bacterium. RNAcentral describes it as "partial 16S ribosomal RNA". It matches the Rfam family "Bacterial small subunit ribosomal RNA", at positions 28 to 507 of the family's 1533-position model. The record is from RNAcentral.